Long non-coding RNA from Brassica napus (rape), 1385 nucleotides. RefSeq lists it as uncharacterized. The transcript has 6 exons. Lineage: Eukaryota; Viridiplantae; Streptophyta; Magnoliopsida; Brassicales; Brassicaceae. The record is from RefSeq and is a predicted model, not a curated record.
ACAAUUCAACUUCUCAAUUCUCUGUGAUCGACUAAUCCACUAUAUCUUCUAUCUCUGUAACCCCCUCUUAAUCAAUGUUCUUUUUUGUCCAAAAAAAAAAUCAAUGUUCUUUUUAUACCUUCUGGCUGGUUUCGUUCCACCUUACGUUCAUCCUCCUCCUAUAUAAAUGGCUUCGUCUAAACCUAAAUCCUAUCAAAAUCGAAACCUAGCAGUAAGAUCAACUGAAACCACUAAUCACCGUAGAGCUCCUUCUGAUCGAUGAGCAGCCUCUGAGCAAUAAUAUUUUAAACGAUGGAGAUGACCACAAUCUCUAGUGUGGAAUUGGAAGAGGAUAAUUUUGGAGGAAGCUUAAGGUAUCAAGGGGCUGCCACUCGCCUAAUAGAUGCAUGUUGGACUCACGUUAUGUACUUUGAAAGGAGGAGUAUAUUUUAAGUGGCUCACAAUAUAAAAAAAACUCCCUCAGAAAAUGUUUCAGGUACUGCAGAUGUUAAAUUUCAGCUAAUGCAUUUGUACGCGGCUAAAGUGAGAGUGACUUUGUUUUUCCUUCUCCUGAGUCUCCCAAGGUUUGGGAUUUUUUUUGCAUAAAAUGGGUAGAGGGAGAUGAAAGUAGCGUAGAAGAUAUUGCAGGGCACAUGAAGAAAAAUAACAUAUUUGGAUUGACGAGUGAAGACAUUUUAUUGGUAAAAUCAAAUUCAGCAUCAAUUCAACGUUCAUGAGAGAGAGGCAUACAAAGUAGCUAAAAAAAUAUUGACCAAGGUGAAGUUGUUGAACCAGACAAGGUUUCCUAUGGACUAAUGGAAAAGGGUUGAUUUGAUGGUCUGAUAACAAUAUCUCAAGAAAGAGAAUGACGAUGUGGAUGUCAAAUUUGGUAAAGGCUGGCUGCUUCUUUACAGGAUUGACAUAGAAAGGUCACACAUGAUGAAGUUGCAGCUGCCGCGAUGUACGAUCAUUCAGAUUCAAUCGUGUUUCAGGUAUAAACAAUAGAGAAAAGUGAGUCUGCAGGUAUUAUUCUUUGGGCCAUAUGUUUCUGUGUGACCCAUAAAACAUAGUUGACACCUCAAAACAUUAUUGUCAUGUUUGUUUCUCAGUGGUGUUGCUGUGUGAAUGGUGAUGGAAUAUGCAGACAAUAUUGUAUAUUUGAUAAACUGGCAAAUACAUAUUCAAUUCGCCAGCAGAUCCUUGAGCAGUAGUUCAUUUUUGUACAUGGAAUUUAAUCUUUAUCAGUCUGUAUCUAGGUUUAUUUCACAUAGUGGAACUGCUUAUCACUGCAGUUCUCUCUAUUGUCUAUGUAUACUUAUUCAGUUUUCAUGUAUCCUUAGCUUUCUACCUGGAUUCAAGUAAGUUAACCGCAUUUUCCUCUGUCAAUACAAUUCACAUUUUACUCA